This 385-nucleotide ribosomal RNA is filed under the name uncultured bacterium. RNAcentral's name for it is "bacterial SSU rRNA". It matches the Rfam family "Bacterial small subunit ribosomal RNA", at positions 648 to 1032 of the family's 1533-position model. The record is from RNAcentral.
GCAGUAGGGGAGACUGGAAUUCCUGGUGUAGCGGUGGAAUGCGCAGAUAUCAGGAGGAACACCGAUGGCGAAGGCAGGUCUCUGGGCUGUAACUGACGCUGAGAAGCGAAAGCAUGGGGAGCGAACAGGAUUAGAUACCCUGGUAGUCCAUGCCGUAAACGUCGGGCACUAGGUGUGGGGGACAUUCCACGUUUUCCGCGCCGUAGCUAACGCAUUAAGUGCCCCGCCUGGGGAGUACGGCCGCAAGGCUAAAACUCAAAGGAAUUGACGGGGGCCCGCACAAGCGGUGGAGCAUGUGGCUUAAUUCGAAGCAACGCGAAGAACCUUACCAGGUCUUGACAUCCCUCUGACCACUCUAGAGAUAGAGUUUCCUUCGGGGCAGAGG